RNAcentral lists this ribosomal RNA (433 nucleotides) under uncultured bacterium. Its description in RNAcentral is "partial 16S ribosomal RNA". It matches the Rfam family "Bacterial small subunit ribosomal RNA", at positions 29 to 507 of the family's 1533-position model. The record is from RNAcentral.
AACGAACGCUGGCGGCAUGCCUAACACAUGCAAGUCGAACGAGACCUUCGGGUCUAGUGGCGCACGGGUGCGUAACGCGUGGGAACCUGCCCUUAGGUUCGGAAUAACUCCCCGAAAGGGGUGCUAAUACCGGAUAAUGUCUUCGGACCAAAGAUUUAUCGCCUUUGGAUGGGCCCGCGUUGGAUUAGCUAGUUGGUAGGGUAAAAGCCUACCAAGGCGACGAUCCAUAGCUGGUCUGAGAGGAUGAUCAGCCACACUGGGACUGAGACACGGCUCAGACUCGUACGGGAGGCAGCAGUGGGGAAUAUUGGACAAUGGGCGAAAGCCUGAUCCAGCAAUGCCGCGUGAGUGAUGAAGGCCUUAGGGUUGUAAAGCUCUUUUACCCGGGAUGAUAAUGACAGUACCGGGAGAAUAAGCUCCGGCUAACUCCGUG